UACGGGGGGGGUAAGCGUUGUUCGGAAUUACUGGGCGUAAAGGGCUCGUAGGCGGCCAACUAAGUCAUACGUGAAAUCCCUCAGCUUAACUGGGGAACUGCGUGUGAUACUGGAUGGCUUGGAUUUGGGAGAGGGAUGCGGAAUUCCGAGUGUAGAGGUGAAAUUCGUAGAUAUUCGGAAGAACACCAGUGGCGAAGGCGACUUACUGGACGACUGUUGACGCUGAGGUGCGAAAGCGUGGGGAGCAAACAGG
Molecule: ribosomal RNA, 253 nt
Filed under: uncultured bacterium
Lineage: Bacteria
Description: partial 16S ribosomal RNA
Rfam family: Bacterial small subunit ribosomal RNA
Source: RNAcentral